UGGGGAAUUUUGGACAAUGGGCGCAAGCCUGAUCCAGCCAUGCCGCGUGUCUGAAGAAGGCCUUCGGGUUGUAAAGGACUUUUGUCAGGGAAGAAAAGGGCGGGGUUAAUACCCCUGUCUGAUGACGGUACCUGAAGAAUAAGCACCGGCUAACUACGUGCCAGCAGCCGCGGUAAUACGUAGGGUGCGAGCGUUAAUCGGAAUUACUGGGCGUAAAGCGGGCGCAGACGGUUACUUAAGCAAGAUGUGAAAUCCCCGGGCUCAACCUGGGAACUGCGUUCUGAACUGGGUGACUAGAGUGUGUCAGAGGGAGGUAGAAUUCCACGUGUAGCAGUGAAAUGCGUAGAGAUGUGGAGGAAUACCGAUGGCGAAGGCAGCCUCCUGGGAUAACACUGACGUUCAUGCCCGAAAGCGUGGGUAGCAAACA
Molecule: ribosomal RNA, 427 nt
Filed under: uncultured bacterium
Lineage: Bacteria
Description: partial 16S ribosomal RNA
Rfam family: Bacterial small subunit ribosomal RNA
Source: RNAcentral